UAAUACGGAGGGUGCAAGCGUUGUUCGGAAUUACUGGGCGUAAAGCGCGCGCAGGCGGAUGUUCAAGUCAGAAGUGAAAUCUCGCAGCUCAACUGCGAGGCUGCUUCUGAGACUGUACGUCUGGAGACUGGUAGAGGCUGGUAGAAUUCCCGGUGUAGCGGUGGAAUGCGUAGAUAUCGGGAAGAAUACCCGUGGCGAAGGCGGCCAGCUGGGCCAGAUCUGACGCUGAGGCGCGAAAGCGUGGGGAGCAAACAGGAUUAGAUACCCUGGUAGUCCACGCUGUAAACGAUGGGCACUAGGUGCCGGGGGGAGCGACCCCGUCGGUGCCGUAGCUAACGCGAUAAGUGCCCCGCCUGGGGAGUACGGCCGCAAGGCUG
RNAcentral lists this ribosomal RNA (377 nucleotides) under uncultured bacterium. RNAcentral describes it as "bacterial SSU rRNA". It matches the Rfam family "Bacterial small subunit ribosomal RNA", at positions 521 to 896 of the family's 1533-position model. The record is from RNAcentral.